CCUACGGGAGGCAGCAGUGGGGAAUCUUGGACAAUGGGGGAAACCCUGAUCCAGCGAUGCCGCGUGAGUGAUGAAGGCCUUCGGGUUGUAAAACUCUUUCGACGGGGACGCGGUACCCGUAGAAGAAGCUCCGGCUAACUUCGUGCCAGCAGCCGCGGUAAUACGAAGGGGGCUAGCGUUGUUCGGAAUUACUGGGCGUAAAGCGUGCGCAGGCGGCCAUUCAAGUCAGGGGUGAAAGCCCAGAGCUCAACUCUGGAACUGCCCUUGAAACUGUAUGGCUUGAGUAUGAGAGAGGUGAGUGGAAUUCCCAGUGUAGAGGUGAAAUUCGUAGAUAUUGGGAAGAACACCGGUGGCGAAGGCGGCUCACUGGCUCAUACUGACGCUCAUGCACGACAGCGUGGGGAUCAAACAGGAUUAGAUACCCUUGUAGUC
This 432-nucleotide ribosomal RNA is filed under the name uncultured bacterium. Its description in RNAcentral is "partial 16S ribosomal RNA". It matches the Rfam family "Bacterial small subunit ribosomal RNA", at positions 338 to 795 of the family's 1533-position model. The record is from RNAcentral.